UGAACUUUCCUCAAGGUUGAUGUAGUUGGUGAUGUUUAGAUUAUAUAUUUAUGAUCUGUCCUGUAGAGGGCUUCUCAUUUGUGUUGGUAUAGUUUGCUAGGUAUGUUUUUUAUUUUUUAUUUUUUGCAGAGAGAGUAAAUUAUGAUCAAUUCUCACCAGUCUACGUUCAGGUUGAAUCAAAAUAGAUGCAUUAGUGAGCAUAAAACAUAGAGAAUAGUAUGGAACUGGUUAACAAAAUACAUAAAAUAAAUAAAAUACAUGUAAGAAGCAGAAGUGUUAUGAGCUGUACAGAUUGCUUUAGGGCUCCGUCAAUAUUCCAUGGGACUGUGAAAAUGUAUUCCAUAAUAAAAACCAACAUCCCUCCAUUUUCUCAAAGUGUUGAGAUGCGUAACUGAAUUAUCUAACAACAUGACUUCUGAUUGGCUGAACGGAUGACGCACGGAAACCACGUCAGGAAGAACGUGAAAAACAGAAACGCCGAACUAGACGCUAGGCUGCGAGUAGCACGCUACAAAUGGAGGGGAAAAAAAGAGACUGAACAUAAGCUUCGCCAGACUGAGGUAAUGGGCGAGACGGCAACUGCACGUGAUAGCGCUCCAGGUAACCAGGGGAAACCAUGGUAACUCGACUGGCAACGCUGGAUAAAGCUGGGCUUCAUGUGAGUAGUAGACUUUGCUGCUUUUGUGGAAGACAGUCCGCCGGAGAAACCAGCUAGCUCUCCGUGCUACUAGGUCCUCUGACGACGCGGGAUACAGCGACAUGUGCCGCCGGACUCCGCCUGCUCCACGUGGUUGGGAGGCGUCACUCAAGGUCAUGGACAUUUCACCGCAGCUAAGAUGCAUGAGGGACGUUUAUAAGGAAACAUUUGAGUUGGGGGACUGCAGUUGUUCACGGUGCAGACUGAGACAAAUGUGUGACGGUGGUGGAAAUUACAGGCGCCUACAUCGCUCAGUCUGGUUAGAGAAACAUGGACGGAUGGAGAGAGAGAGAAACAUUCCUCCAGGUGGAAAGGUCUUCACAAACCAAAACACUGGGAUCAUGUUUAGGUUUACUGAAUCCUAAAAAGUAUUGCAACAAAGCAAAAGCAUCUGCUUGGAUUGCAAAUCAAAACGACCACCUCUGGACCCCGCUCCAAUUUGUCCGUCCGCCCUGAACUUGUAAAACGGAUCCUAAUACGAUGAGCCGGAACGCGGCGCGGCGCUCCUGACCGCCUGAAACUCAGCGGCAACAGAUGGAACAAUGAGCUCCUGCGUAUCAGGGAUCUGGCCUCCGCCGCGCAAGUAAUUCAGCCAGGAUCACACACAAACUUAAAACACUGUAAUCCAUUUUUCUGAACAAAAAACAUCUGGGACCGAAAAUCCACUAAUCUGAUAUUAAAUCCGCCGAUUUGUUGAAAAACAGUGAGAUUAGCCAGAAUGUCAGGAAGAAGAAAAAAAACGGACUUAACUGCAUUUGAGGAGGAGGAGGAGGAGGUUGGAUUGUGUGUGUGAGGCUUUGUGUGAGUUUGAGUGUGUGUGCUGGUAUUGUAUAGUUAAUGUUGGGUGUUUGCGCUGUCCUGGCUCAUGUAAGAGGCUUGUCUAAUCUCAUUGGUGAUACCUUCUGUCUGUCAUGCACUCCUCUCUUUAUUAUUCCCCCACUUCAUUGCUCUGGAAAAAAAAGGAAAGACUAAUCCCCAUCUCUCUCUCUCUCCCGUUCCCUCCCUUCUCCUCACUCCUAUGUCUCUCUCUGUCUCUUUCAGUCACUAAUAAACACAUAACAAUGAAGCCGCCCUGCAGGCAAUAGCAGCACGGAGGAACAACACAAACACUAAUUAUAGCCUGUUACAUAUGUGUAAUAUUUGAACUAUCAGUGCUGCAUGAAAAAUGGAUUAGGAGUAAAAAAAAUAGUGAUUCAUUUAUGUCAUUUUUUCUUUAUGUGUGCAUGUGGUUAGGAAGGAUUAUGGUGCUGUCAUCACAGUACUGCUAGAAAAAACACUGUUCUUGUUGUUAUAGAAACGCUGCAGACACUUAGUCUUAAAAACUUUGAGAUUUCCACUUAUGGAAAUGUAUCUUUCUGGUAAAAAUGUUUGCAGCUUAAGAAAUGGAGCUUGUACAUCUACAGUUUGUUUAGAGAUGGACUGGUAAGUUUUGAUUGGUCAAAAAGCCUCACUCAUAAGUGUUGAAGUUGUUACUGAUGGAAGUAGACUCACAGCUAGAUACUUUUAAUGUCAGUAAACAGUUAAAAAGUAACUGUGUUCCCUAUUAUCCCUAAAAUAAAAUCUGGUACCAGUGACAAUAUGCCCAACCCAUGUCUAAUUCUACUCUUUCUGCUCUGAGCUUUACUUUAUUUUACAUAUUUAGAAUUCCUAAUUCCACUUUCUGAACUAUUUGAAAGAAGAUUUGUUGCAUUUUGUUUUUAGUUUGACCAACAUAGUCAACCUAUUGCUUUUGUCAGUUUAAGUUUCUUUAUUUAUUUUACAUUGGCUGUUAUUCUCCUAAUUUCACUGAUUGAACAAAUUAAAGUUGUUUUUGCAUAUUUGAACAAAGCUUGUAAAGUUAUUGAUCAAUUUAAGUGUACUUAAAUUGUACUGAUGCAGAGUUAUAAAAUAAA
Xiphophorus couchianus (Monterrey platyfish) is the source of this 2589-nucleotide long non-coding RNA. RefSeq lists it as uncharacterized. The record is from RefSeq and is a predicted model, not a curated record. The transcript is spliced from 4 exons. Lineage: Eukaryota; Metazoa; Chordata; Actinopteri; Cyprinodontiformes; Poeciliidae.